UUCGCAAUGCCCGAAAGGGUGACGAAGCGACGCCGCGUGGGUGAGGAAGGCCUUCGGGUUGUAAAGCCCUGUCAGGAGUUAAGAAAUGUAAGUGCGCUAAUAUCGCAUUUAUUUGACGAAGGCUCCAAAGGAAGCCACGGCUAACUCUGUGCCAGCAGCCGCGGUAAUACAGAGGUGGCAAGCGUUGUUCGGAAUUAUUGGGCGUAAAGAGCACGUAGGUGGGUUUGUAAGUCAGAUGUGAAAGCCUUCUGUUCAACGGAAGAAUUGCAUCUGAAACUGCGAGUCUUGAGUGUAGGAGGGGAGAAUGGAACUUCUGGUGGAGCGGUGAAAUGCGUAGAUAUCAGAAGGAACGCCGGCGGCGAAAGCGAUUCUCUGGCCUAUUACUGACACUCAGUGUGCGAAAGCUAGGGGAGCAAACGGGAUUAGGUACCCCGGUAGUCCUAGCCGUAAACGAUGGGCACUAAGUAGAGGGGUUUU
Molecule: ribosomal RNA, 477 nt
Filed under: Candidatus Scalindua brodae
Lineage: Bacteria; Pseudomonadati; Planctomycetota; Candidatus Brocadiia; Candidatus Brocadiales; Candidatus Scalinduaceae
Description: bacterial SSU rRNA
Rfam family: Bacterial small subunit ribosomal RNA
Source: RNAcentral